Molecule: transfer RNA, 74 nt
Filed under: Pirellula sp.
Lineage: Bacteria; Pseudomonadati; Planctomycetota; Planctomycetia; Pirellulales; Pirellulaceae
Also listed under: 1 other name
Description: tRNA-Asp
Rfam family: tRNA
About the family: Transfer RNA (tRNA) molecules are approximately 80 nucleotides in length.
Source: RNAcentral
GGGGUCGUAGCUCAAUUGGUUAGAGCACCGGACUGUCGAUCCGGAGGUUGCGGGUUCGACCCCCGUCGACCUCG